CGCGGUAACCUUGACCGUGCAAAGGUAGCAUAAUCGUUUGCCUUUUAAUUGAAGGCUUGUAUGAAUGGUUUGACAAGAGUAAAGCUGUCUCUAGAAUAGAAAUUGAAUUUUACUUUUAUGUGAGAAGGCUUAAAUAAAAUGAAGAGAAGAUAAGACCCUAUAAAGCUUAAAUAGAUUGAGGUUUGAGCAUAAUUUGAAAACUAAAGUCUAAGUUGAAAAUCUAUUUUGUUGGGGCGACAAUAAUAUAAAAAUAAAUAACUGUUAAAACAAAAAAAUAUUAUGGAUAAAGAAGAAAAUGAUCCUUUAAUAAGGAUUAAAAGAAAAGUUACUUUAGGGAUAACAGCGUAAUUUUCCUUGAGAGUUCUUAUCGACAGGAGUAGUUGCGACCUCGAUGUUGAAUUAACAAAACUUUAUGGGGCA
This 420-nucleotide ribosomal RNA is filed under the name Rhynchocinetes conspiciocellus. RNAcentral's name for it is "partial 16S ribosomal RNA". It matches the Rfam family "Archaeal large subunit ribosomal RNA", at positions 2009 to 2626 of the family's 2987-position model. Lineage: Eukaryota; Metazoa; Arthropoda; Malacostraca; Decapoda; Rhynchocinetidae. The record is from RNAcentral.